UUUAUUUAUAAAAAGGGACUACUAAUAUAUUGAAAGGAACUGUUACGUAUCCGGAUAGAAGCCAUACAAAUAAACCAUCGGAUGAAAAAACAGGAAAAGAAGAUGACGAUAAGAUCGUAUUCUAUGCUGGAGCAGUUGGUUUAUUAGUAAUGGCCAUUCUUAUUGGAAUGCUACUAAAUGGAGUUAAGAAUAAAUAUUGCUCUCGACAAAUAGUAUCUGAACAGAAAGAUGACGACAGGCACGAGCCAGCAGAAGCGUCACUAGAAAUGUACAGUUAUGAAUAUAUUGAUGAACAACAGAUAACAGAUCAAAACCCAUGCUCUGUUCCUCCUAGUUUGCCAGUUCCAAGAAAUGUUGAACAAAAUCAAUUAAAUGAAACUUCAGAAAACAAUCACAGAGAUUCAAUUGAUGCUAAAAAUUGUUUUAGAGUGGAGGAUGAAGGGUAUCUAAAUCCUUAUCAACCUAUACAAGUGGCGAACAUUUAUAAACAUGAAUAUAAAGCAAUUGGUGUUGAAAUUACAACAAAUAAACAAGCCGAUGAAUAUUUACACCCAUACAACUCUCUGUUGAAACAUGGUAUGCCCGAGAGUCAUGAGUACAAAGACUUGAGAAACGAAAACAUCAAAUCUGAGAUGGAAUCCUCUGAAAGUAAUAAAUUUUAGUCUUUUGUUUAAAACCAACAAGUAUAACAUCACGAACUUGGUUUCAUACUGUGUUCAAUUCAUGUUCUGUAAAGUUAUUUUUUUAUUGUA
This is a long non-coding RNA of Mytilus californianus (California mussel), 752 nucleotides long. RefSeq lists it as uncharacterized. The record is from RefSeq and is a predicted model, not a curated record. The transcript is spliced from 2 exons. NCBI's taxonomy places the organism in Eukaryota, Metazoa, Mollusca, Bivalvia, Mytilida, Mytilidae.